AUGUCAGUUUCGUUAUUACAACCUUAUUUUUUUAUGUCAAAGACAAAAAGCUACGCGCAAAUUCUCAUUGCAUCUCGGUUGUUCUUAACAGCGAUGGCUAUUCAUUUAAGUCUUCGGGUAGCACCACCAGAUCUUCAACAAGGUGGAAAUUCUCAUAUUUCGUAUGUACAUGUUCCUGCGGCUCGGAUGAGUAUAGUUAUUUAUAUCGCGACAGCUAUAAACAGUUCCUUGUUCCCAUUAACACAACAUCCCCUUUUUCUUCGCUCUUCCGGAACCGGUACAGAAAUUGGUGCUUUUUCUACUUUGUUUACGUUAGUGACUGGGGGGUUUCGGGGAAGGCCUAUGUGGGGUACCUUUCGGGUGUGGGAUGCUCGUUUAACUUCUGUAUUCAUCUUGUUCCUUAUUUACCUGGGUGCACUGCGUUUUCAAAAGCUUCCUGUCGAACCGGCUCCUAUUUUAAUCCAUGCUGGACCGAUCGAUAUACCAAUAAUAAAGUCUCCAGUCAACUGGUGGAAUACAUCGCAUCAACCUGGGAGCAUUAGCCGAUCUGGUACAUCAAUACAUGUUCCUAUGCCCAUUCCAAUCUUGUCUAACUUUGCUAACUUCCCCUUCUCUACCUGUAUCUUGUUCGUUCUGGAAACACGUCUUCCUAUUCCAUCUUUUCCCGAAUCUCCCUUAACGGAAGAAAUAGAAGCUCGAGAAGGAAUACCACUAAAAACCUAG
Molecule: ribosomal RNA, 723 nt
Filed under: Triticum aestivum (bread wheat)
Lineage: Eukaryota; Viridiplantae; Streptophyta; Magnoliopsida; Poales; Poaceae
Description: partial small subunit ribosomal RNA
Source: RNAcentral